AUAAAUGCAUUCAUAACAAAAAAAACUAUUUUUCAUUAAUUCUAUCUUUUCCUUGCAGCCAAAAAUCCAAGUCGCCUCCAAAUAUGAAAGACGUGUAGAUACAAGGUCAUACGACGACAAGAAGAAGCUCUUCGAAGGUGGAUACAUUGAGCAGACGAAAGAAACCAUGGAGAAGGUCUGGAACGAAAGAACAGACCAGUUUGGAAACCGUCCCAAAGCUAAACUGCCAAAAUGGUUCGGAGAGAGGCCAGGCAAGAAGAGGACGACCCAGAGAGCCCCGAGGAAGAGGAAGUGAAGAAGGAUGACGAAGUAGAGGAACCAGUCUUCGAAGCCGAAGAGGAAGAGGAGGAGGAGGCCGAGGAAGAGGAGGAGGAAGAGGAAGAGGAGGAGGAAGAAGAGGAAGAGGAGGAGGAAGAAGAAUAAAUCAUUCGCAAGAAGCUACGAGUCAGCGACGUUUAACCAGCAUCCUCAAAACUGCUGACCCAGUCAAAAAUUCUUCAGCUUCAAAAACACUCUGAAUGGAUUUUCAAAACUGCGCUAAUUGAGAACAGCUACCCGCCAUUCGGCGGCUGGGGGACCCAAAAAUCUAUAGGGCGACUCCAAAAAUCACCAAAACAGCAAUCAAAGUGCCACGGACUGACACUCACCCAGACGCCAUUUUAAUUUGAAAAAACAGACAAUUUUGAAUUUAACCAUCAAAAUUCUAGUUGUAAUAAGUUUGUUGCACUGUAAACAACAUUAUUAACAUAUUGAUUCCAACACCUAAUCUAACAUGAAAUUUAGAAAAAAAUGGCCGACUUUAAAGAUAAAAUGUGUGUACUAUCUAUAUGCAUUAACUAUUCUACAAUCUCCAUUCUUCUUAACUGGAACCUAAUUUCAUAAAUUCUUACAGAUCUGAUGAUCUCUUCUCUCUUCGAGAUUUGAGGUUUGUUGCAUUAUUAUAUAUACUCUGUCUGUUUUUCUCAUUAAUAAAUUAAUUUGGAAAUGUA
Nilaparvata lugens (brown planthopper) is the source of this 989-nucleotide long non-coding RNA. RefSeq lists it as uncharacterized. NCBI's taxonomy places the organism in Eukaryota, Metazoa, Arthropoda, Insecta, Hemiptera, Delphacidae. The record is from RefSeq and is a predicted model, not a curated record. The transcript has 4 exons.